This is a non-coding RNA of Paramuricea clavata, 616 nucleotides long. The record is from the annotation of a GenBank genome assembly. Lineage: Eukaryota; Metazoa; Cnidaria; Anthozoa; Malacalcyonacea; Plexauridae.
AAGAAGCAACUGCCAAAAAUAGACUCUCUCCGAUUACUAGUGAAAGAUAAUCCAUUUGAUGUCUUCUCAAGCUCCGAAACAUGGCUUAAACCAAGUAUCUCUAGACAUUUUAUUGCUUUGACUACUUUUUUGGCUUUUUAAUUUCCCACUCUUCGCCCGACUUAUGUUGAACAUUUGCCCGACUUUGUAAUCUUUUGGGGGGGGCAGCUGCCCCCCCCUAACCCCCCCCGUCCCGUACGCCUAUGAUCUCAGACUCCGAAGUAGCUAUACCUGGCUAUUCAAUUGUCAGAAUGGACCGUCAUAGAAAAAUCGGUGGUGGCACUGCUAUAUACAUUCGUGAUGGUUUACCUUUUAAAACCCAAUCGGACCUAAUGAAUAAUACCUUGGAAAACUGUGUGGUUGAAAUUUUACGACCUAAGGCUAAAAAACUGUUUAUAUGUUGCGCUUACAGAGCCCCAAACAAUCCUGUUGAAAACUACAUCACCGAAUUGGAAAACGUCAUUCACAAACUUCCAAACAACAGCGAGUUUAUCUUGCUGGGUGACUUUAACAUUGACCUUAGCAAGAACAAUCGAUCUCCCUUCAAACGAUUACUGAAUAAUCUCUCUUGCCAGCU